This 963-nucleotide long non-coding RNA is filed under the name Brassica napus (rape). RNAcentral describes it as "long non-coding RNA (BNAP_LNC006048)". Lineage: Eukaryota; Viridiplantae; Streptophyta; Magnoliopsida; Brassicales; Brassicaceae. The record is from RNAcentral.
UGGAAGAUUAGUAAAAAAGAUGAGACUUUGCAAAUCGAAAGGACGAUUGUCAAUGUUAGCAACAAAAAACAAUUGCAACUUUAUUUCACGUUCACAUUUUCUGUCUUAAAUUUCGAAAACACACAUAUAAAUAGCUUCGUGUUUUGUAAGGACGACAUAUGAAAGUUGGCAAACAUGGAGAAACAGAGCAUCACACACAAGUCACACUUCUUCUUCCUCUUCUUCAAUGUCAUCUUCUUGGAUCCGUGGUACGUGCAUCAGAAGAGGUAGUUUCGGUACAGUUAGCACGGCGAUUAAUAAAACAGACGGUGAAGUUUUCGCCGUGAAGUCCGCGGAUCUCGCCACGUGUCUUCCCGCUCAGUUAGACUCUCUAGAGAACGAAAUCUCCGUUCGUUCACUCAAGCCUCACCCUCACAUAGUGCGGUUCCUCGGCGACGGAGUCUCGAAAGAAGGGAUGACGUCGUUUCGCAACCUCCACUUAGAGUAUCUCCCAGAAGGUGACGCGGCUAAAAACGGAAUCGACGAGACUCUCCUACGGCGUUACGCGGCGUGUCUCAUCUCCGCUCUCCGCCACGUCCACUCGCGAGGACUCGUUCACUGCGACGUCAAGGCAAGUAACGUACUCAUUGUAGGACCGCGAAAAUCCUGAUUGAAAAUUACUAAACAAAAAAGCAUAUAACCGAUAAUAUAAAGACUUACAACGUUUAGACGAAUUCACGGAGUCGAGAUUUGAUCUUUUUCCUUAACUCAAAAAUCGUCCGUAAUGUGUAACGGUUUUAUGCGAUUUUUGAAUCUUAGAAUACAACCGUGAUGAGACCGUUUUGCAACACCCGAAACAGAAUCUACGGACUAACUACUACGAUAUAUUCUCGAGACACUUACUUUAAAAAAUAAAAUCUAAAGAGUAUUUUUUCUAGUGACAGAAAGUGGUAGUUAGAGAGAUGAUUGUGUGAGUUGUGAGAU